This 253-nucleotide ribosomal RNA is filed under the name uncultured bacterium. RNAcentral's name for it is "partial 16S ribosomal RNA". It matches the Rfam family "Bacterial small subunit ribosomal RNA", at positions 524 to 776 of the family's 1533-position model. The record is from RNAcentral.
UACGAAGGUGGCAAGCGUUGUUCGGAUUUACUGGGCGUACAGGGAGCGUAGGCGGUUGGAUAAGCCCUCCGUGAAAUCUCCAGGCUUAACCUGGAAAGUGCAGAGGGGACUGUUCAGCUAGAGGAUGGGAGAGGAGCGCGGAAUUCCCGGUGUAGCGGUGAAAUGCGUAGAGAUCGGGAGGAACACCAGUGGCGAAGGCGGCGAUCUGGGUCGAUACUGACGCUGAGGUGCGAAAGCGUGGGGAGCAAACAGG